RNAcentral lists this ribosomal RNA (764 nucleotides) under uncultured bacterium. RNAcentral's name for it is "bacterial SSU rRNA". It matches the Rfam family "Bacterial small subunit ribosomal RNA", at positions 8 to 796 of the family's 1533-position model. The record is from RNAcentral.
AGAGUUUGAUCAUGGCUCAGAACGAACGCUGGCGGCAUGGAUUAGGCAUGCAAGUCGAACGCUUGUAGCAAUACAGGAGUGGCGAAAGGGUGAGGAACACGUGAGUAACUUGCCCCCAAGUUGGGAAUAACUCCGGGAAACUGGUGCUAAUACCGAAUGUGAUUAUAAGGUCGCAUGACUUUAUGAUUAAAGAUUUAUCGCUUGGGGAUAGGCUCGCGUUCCAUUAGCUAGUUGGUAAGGUAACGGCUUACCAAGGCAAUGAUGGAUAGCUGGUCUGAGAGGAUGGCCAGCCACACUGGGACUGAGACACUGCCCAGACUCCUACGGGAGGCUGCAGUCGAGAAUCUUCCGCAAUGGGCGAAAGCCUGACGGAGCAAUGCCGCGUGUAGGAUGAAGGUUUUCGGAUCGUAAACUACUGUCACCAGGGACGAAAAAAAUGACGGUACCUGGAGAGGAAGCCACGGCAAACUACGUGCCAGCAGCCGCGGUAAUACGUAGGUGGCGAGCGUUGUUCGGAUUUAUUGGGCGUAAAGGGUCCGCAGGGGGUUUGUCAAGUCUGAUGUGAAAUCCCGUGGCUCAACCACGGAAUUGCAUUGGAAACUAGCAGACUAGAGUGCUGGAGAGGUAAACGGAAUUCCAGGUGUAGCGGUGGAAUGCGUAGAUAUCUGGAAGAACACCAAAAGCGAAGGCAGUUUACUGGACAGAUACUGACCCUCAGGGACGAAAGCGUGGGGAGCAAACAGGAUUAGAUACCCUGGUAGUCC